RNAcentral lists this ribosomal RNA (578 nucleotides) under Herbaspirillum seropedicae. RNAcentral's name for it is "bacterial SSU rRNA". It matches the Rfam family "Bacterial small subunit ribosomal RNA", at positions 847 to 1429 of the family's 1533-position model. The record is from RNAcentral. Lineage: Bacteria; Pseudomonadati; Pseudomonadota; Betaproteobacteria; Burkholderiales; Oxalobacteraceae.
CGCAGCUAACGCGUGAAGUAGACCGCCUGGGGAGUACGGUCGCAAGAUUAAAACUCAAAGGAAUUGACGGGGACCCGCACAAGCGGUGGAUGAUGUGGAUUAAUUCGAUGCAACGCGAAAAACCUUACCUACCCUUGACAUGGUCGGAAUCCCGAAGAGAUUUGGGAGUGCUCGAAAGAGAACCGGCGCACAGGUGCUGCAUGGCUGUCGUCAGCUCGUGUCGUGAGAUGUUGGGUUAAGUCCCGCAACGAGCGCAACCCUUGUCAUUAGUUGCUACGAAAGGGCACUCUAAUGAGACUGCCGGUGACAAACCGGAGGAAGGUGGGGAUGACGUCAAGUCCUCAUGGCCCUUAUGGGUAGGGCUUCACACGUCAUACAAUGGUACAUACAGAGGGCCGCCAACCCGCGAGGGGGAGCUAAUCCCAGAAAGUGUAUCGUAGUCCGGAUUGGAGUCUGCAACUCGACUCCAUGAAGUUGGAAUCGCUAGUAAUCGCGGAUCAGCAUGUCGCGGUGAAUACGUUCCCGGGUCUUGUACACACCGCCCGUCACACCAUGGGAGCGGGUUUUACCAGAAGUGG